Molecule: long non-coding RNA, 1553 nt
Organism: Dunckerocampus dactyliophorus (ringed pipefish)
Lineage: Eukaryota; Metazoa; Chordata; Actinopteri; Syngnathiformes; Syngnathidae
Exons: 3
Source: RefSeq, a predicted model, not a curated record
UGCAGAAGUAGCAGAUGACCCAGGCCAGCAGCAGGCACAGCGCCAGGUCCCAGUGCACCUUGCCGAGGGACAUGGAGUCCGACAUCCUCAACACACGAUUUCUGUGCGGCGGCAAGAGGACAGGACUGCAUGAAUCCACUGUGAAAUGCAGAAGAUCACAACAUGGAUGAGAUAGCGGACUACUUGAGGACACAGCACGCCAAUGGAAGAGGACAAGAUGUCUGACGAGCAUCUGAAAGAAUAUCUUACCAUCCUGCGCCGAUUGGGUGGCUGUUUUUGGAUACUGCAGAUGAAAUGGAAAAUAAUCCGGCAGUAGGAAGUCCAAGGUUUUUGAAAGCUCCCAAGAAAUAAAGUGGGUCAUGUCACAUCUGAGAAAAAGCAUCAUGCCCUUCCCAAGAAGGCUCAGAAGAAUCAAAGAACUGAGAUGGGAUGCUUGCGUUUUAGAGAAGGGACAUUUGUGCAGGUACCAUAAAAGUAGGUGGAUCCAGAAAAGUUGACUGUCCAGAAGGAUUUUUGAAAAACAGAACUUGACUGAAAUGGCUCUGUAUAUACAGUAGCUCCAAAUAUAUGAAGUAUGCAAACAUUUCUGAAAUAUAAAAUGUGAGUAUAAUAUCAAAGAAAUAUAAAACUAGUUCAUUGUUUAUCAGUUCUGUGAUCUUAAUAUAGAGGUCACCUGUUUCACAUACACAUCAUUUAUCUUGAGAUUGCUCCCUGACAUCAAGUCCACACAGACAUCAAACACAUCAUCAUCACAUGGGAAGUCUUUGCUCUCUUCAACGCAGACAGGGUGCAUAUCGUCUUUGCCUCCAUAUACAGUAGAUGUGGGACUGCAUGCAAAAUGGAGGGACGUCCGUAAGGUGAUUGUGAGUUGUGGACUUGGGAAGCUGGUGUUCUGCCAGUGGAAGCUGCUUUGCAAUAGCGCUGUUAGUUUCGUUAAUGUAAGAAAGAGUGCAUUGCAUUGCAAGACAGACAGAAUACACCGCCUGUGGUAAUGAUUUACACUUGGAAUUGUAGUAAAUGGUCCGAAGCAACGUCAUGUCAUUUGUCAUUUCCAACGAGGAACACGGACAGAAAGUGACGCUCACUGUUUACAAUUUGUUGUGUUUCCGGACCGCAAAGUAAAAGUAAUUGGACAUGCUAGCUAGCAGCGAGCCCGACAUAUACGGUUUGGUCACGGCGUACAGUGAUCUAUUUUAUUGAUUUAAAAAAAGUGCAACAUUCCGCCAUCCUUCGUCAUUAUCUGACUCAACGAAUACAUUGUGCUACUGACCAUGUGCAAAGCAGAACAUAGUUCAGCACACGCGGUCCUCCUUGUAUUUAAACUAACCCACGUCACCAAGACCGGCGAUAGCAAUGCACCCCAAUGUAGUGUGAAAUACCUCACAUAGUGUAUCUGAUUGAUAAUAGCUCCAUAGUGCUCAUGUAUAGUACUACACCAGAAGACUAAACAACUCAUUACACAUGAAGCAAACAUCCAACAUUUACAAAACACUCAGGAUACCCAUCUUGCUUACAAUGUGGAGCCAUUUUUGCUACGUGAAGAAGGCGGCACC